UCUACCUUUAGGAAAAAUGCGCUAUGGAUUUGAUAUUUCAGAAGAAUAGUGGAUUUGAAGAUAGACUAAAUCAAUGUCAAGGAAGAUAUGAAUGAGAUGUGUGAUUGGACUGUUGAGAUGUUCUCAAGGGACAUUACUUACUGCAAAUUUGCCAAAAACCGAGUUCUAUACAUACAAAUCCGAAGCUCGAGCUUUGCUCAAACGGAAUGCAGAUAAAAGGUCUUUGAUUGUUCAUAACUAAGUUUAAAUUCUCCAUAGAAGCUUUUUUUUUUGUAACCGAACCGGAGCGGGCUGAACCGGACCGGAAUACUGAACCGUAAGUAGGUGACGUGAAGAUGAAGUUUAGUUUAUUUCUAUUUUAUUGUUAUUUGUUUUAAGUCUUUCACCAAAAAAGUCUUUGUUCUAC
This 406-nucleotide long non-coding RNA is filed under the name Brassica napus (rape). Its description in RNAcentral is "long non-coding RNA (BNAP_LNC027050)". The record is from RNAcentral. Lineage: Eukaryota; Viridiplantae; Streptophyta; Magnoliopsida; Brassicales; Brassicaceae.